Long non-coding RNA from Gorilla gorilla gorilla (western lowland gorilla), 379 nucleotides. RefSeq lists it as uncharacterized. The record is from RefSeq and is a predicted model, not a curated record. The transcript has 3 exons. Lineage: Eukaryota; Metazoa; Chordata; Mammalia; Primates; Hominidae.
CAGAACAACUGCUACGGUACCACAGUGCUUGGGUUCGGUACUAUCCACAGUUUCAGGCAUCCACUGGAGCUCUUGGGACAUAUCCCCAGCAGAUAAGGAGGGACUGCUGUACACACGUUAGAGAAGAAAAUGUUAAAGAAUUCAUCAAGAGGCAAUAGAGUAUAGUAUCAAAGUAUUAAUAGAUACUCUGAGGUAUCUGCCUAUGAUGAAGUGGGGGAAAAAUGGUCCUUUAAACAUAGAGAGGGACAUGCUCCAGGCUACAUCUAUCUCAAUAAACACUCUACAAGUGAUUACAGAGGCAGAUGGUGGCUUCCCCUUGUCUUCUUGGUUUGAUCUUCUCAAUAUGGAACUUCAACCCUAUGAGUGAGCUGAGCCUGGG